This 301-nucleotide ribosomal RNA is filed under the name uncultured bacterium. RNAcentral's name for it is "partial 16S ribosomal RNA". It matches the Rfam family "Bacterial small subunit ribosomal RNA", at positions 509 to 809 of the family's 1533-position model. The record is from RNAcentral.
CAGUAGCCGCGGUAAUACGGAGGGGGCAAGCGCUAUCCGGAAUUAUUGGGCGUAAAGGGUACGUAGGUGGCCUUUUAAGCGUAGGGUAUAAGGCAAUGGCUCAACCAUUGUUCGCCCUAUGAACUGGAAGGCUUGAGUGCAGGAGAGGAAAGCGGAAUUCCUAGUGUAGCGGUGGAAUGCAUAGAUAUUAGGAGGAACAUCAGCGGCGAAGGCGGCUUUCUGGACUGCAACUGACACUGAGGUACGAAAGCCAGGGGAGCGAACGGGAUUAGAUACCCGAGUAGUCCCUGUCUCUUAUACA